This 469-nucleotide ribosomal RNA is filed under the name uncultured bacterium. Its description in RNAcentral is "partial 16S ribosomal RNA". It matches the Rfam family "Bacterial small subunit ribosomal RNA", at positions 28 to 507 of the family's 1533-position model. The record is from RNAcentral.
GACGAACGCUGGCGGCGUGCUUAACACAUGCAAGUCGAACGGAAAGGCCCUGCUUGCAGGGUGCUCGCGUGGCGAACGGGUGAGUAACACGUGGGUGAUCUGCCCCUUACUUUGGGAUAAGCCUGGGAAACUGGGUCUAAUACUGGAUAGGACCAUGCUGUAGGUGGUGUGGUGGAAAGAUUAGUUUCGGUAAGGGAUGAGCUCGCGGCCUAUCAGCUUGUUGGUGGGGUAAUGGCCGACCAAGGCCUGGACGGGUAGCCGGCCAGAGAGGGUGGACGGCCACAUUGGGACUGAGACACGGGCCAGACGCCGGCGGGAGGCAGCAGUGGGGAAUAUUGCACAAUGGGCGCAAGCCUGAUGCAGCGACGCCGCGUGGAGGAUGACGGCCUUCGGGUUGUAAACUCCUUUCGGCCAUGACGAAGCGCUUGUGGUGACGGUAGUGGUAGAAGAAGCACCGGCUAACUACGUG